This 1207-nucleotide long non-coding RNA is filed under the name Ananas comosus (pineapple). Its description in RNAcentral is "long non-coding RNA (ACOM_LNC000010)". Lineage: Eukaryota; Viridiplantae; Streptophyta; Magnoliopsida; Poales; Bromeliaceae. The record is from RNAcentral.
AAAAUUUUGAAAAAGAAAAUAAAUAACAACUACUGUAAAUAAAAGAUUUAAUAUUACCUGUGGAUCGAGGCGUGCGGAACACUGUUCUAAAAGAGAAAUAGAUUAAUGGCGAGAAAGUAGGGAAAGACGAAGUAGGAUUUAGGUAUGCUCGGAUUCUUCCUGAACUCAUACAAUCCCGCCCAAUAUUUAUAACCAAGUCCAAUAUUUAUAACCAAGUCGGAAAUCUUGCUUCCACGUAUCAAAUUUGUAUUUGUAUAAAAUUUAAAACAAGAUAAGCCUAAGAUUAUACGAAUAAGGCUUAGAAUAAAGAUAAAACCUACAAUCUUGCCCAAUAUUUAUAACCAAAUUGAGAAUCUUGCUUCAACGUAUCAAAUCUGUAUAAAAUAAGAUAAGCCUAAGAUUAUACGGAUAAGGAUGAGGAUAAAGAUAAAACCAAAAAAAUAUAAAUAUAAAUAAAAUAAAUCGGGUGUAUGGAUUGCGCGCGCCACCGGGGGAUUGAAUUUAUAGAUGAAUAGGAAUGCUAUUUUUAAAUAAAUUGAUCAUAGCUAUUCUUUUUUGAUAUUUUUUUUAACAAAUUAAUCAUAACCAUUUAUAGAGAAUAGAUUUCAAUAUUUGGUAGAGAUUUAAUAGAUUAAUCAUAACCGUUCGUUCUUAUUUGAGAUAUUUUUAAAAAAAAAAUCAUAAUCAUUCAUUCGUAGGGAAUAUUUUUUUAUUCACUUUUGGAUUCCGUCUGUCAUUGUCGGAAUUCCUAUACGCUUUUAUAUAUAGUAUAGAUAUAGAUAUAGAUUACACAAAAAACAACCAAUUCAGUAUAUUAACAAUUAUCCUCCUACAAUCUUGAAAUAAUACUAAUAAUAAUUCAUAACAACUUAUAUUUGAAUUUGAUUUAUUUUGAAUGACUAUAACACAAGUUAUAUUUAGUCUUUACUCUAGUUCUCAAUUUAAUACUAUAUGGAUAGAUUUCAAUAUUUAGUAGAGAUUUACUAGAUUGAUCAUAUCCAUUCGUUUAACAAAAAAAAAUCAUAAUCAUUCGUAGGGAAUAUUUUUUUUUUCCUUUUUGGAUUCCGUCUGUCAUUGUCGGAAUUCCUAUAUGCUUUUAUAUAUAAUAUAGACAUAGAUUACACAAAAAACAACCAAUUCAGUAUAUUAACAAUUAUCCUCCUACAAUCUUGAAAUAAUACUAAUAAUAAUUCAUAACAACUUAUAU